GGUGUUGUGGCUCAGGGAUAGAGCACUUGCCUAGCACGCAUGAGGCACUGGUUCAAGCCCUGCACCACCU
Molecule: transfer RNA, 70 nt
Filed under: Marmota monax (woodchuck)
Lineage: Eukaryota; Metazoa; Chordata; Mammalia; Rodentia; Sciuridae
Rfam family: tRNA
About the family: Transfer RNA (tRNA) molecules are approximately 80 nucleotides in length.
Source: Rfam by way of RNAcentral